Molecule: long non-coding RNA, 1035 nt
Organism: Mustela erminea (ermine)
Lineage: Eukaryota; Metazoa; Chordata; Mammalia; Carnivora; Mustelidae
Exons: 3
Source: RefSeq, a predicted model, not a curated record
AUGAAGGAAAGCAUAAUCUCUAGCAAAACUUCUUGUUUCCUGUCGCUGCUAAGAGAGAUUGGACUCGCUCCUUCUCACAUGGCUUAAGAAGAGCUGUAAACACAGCCUAGCUCGCCAGCUGGCCACAAGCUCAGGGGGCUUUCGGGGACAACCACGGCAUGGUGCUCCCUUUUCCUCCCUUUGACCAGUGUCAUUCCUGUACAAAUAACGGUACCGGAACGCCCUCCACUUCCUAGAGUCAUUUAUGUUAUGGUUCCUCUUUCAAGAAAACAUGGGGAUGAAACGCAAAGUAGAAGAGACUAAAAGCAGAAUGACCGCAGCACCUCGGUUUAUCCCUCACCAUUGUUAUUGUAAGAGAGCUGGAUCAAAUUCCUUUUGUUGCCCUACACACGCACAAACGCACGAAAGUAGGUGAAGGAACGGGCACCCUAAGACAGUUUUGUUCUUUUUUCUCCGCUUCACAGAAAGUCUUUAUGAAAUCCUCAUACCAUCUCCGGACGCAGGACUUCAGCAUUCUGCUAAAGACCUAAACCAUUUCAAGCCAAGGUAAUUCCUGUGUCUCCAAGUUAGUUGCUGGUGUUUUUCACUUAAGAGACGGCUUUGCUCUCAAACCCGUAACUUGCUCAUCCCUGCAGCCCUGGCGAUUUCCUGACGCACAGAAAGCUGCAGGGGACAAAUAGGCCAGUGAGACGCCCACGGAGCGCAAACCGCCAACUGCGCAUGCGCUGGUGAUCCGGGACCGGGUUGGAGAAUAAUUAGCAUAGGUCCUCAGCUGUGCCUUUAGGCCCAGGCUCUGGGACCCUUAGCAAAGUUGGAACAUACACCCAGAACUCAGAGCUGACUGAAGCACUGCAUUCACAUUUCUUACAUCCUUUGGGGACUCCUAACUGGGCCGCUUUUACUCCCACUGCCCCUCAGAACCAAAAACAAUGUUUAAACUAUUCAUGGCAAGAUGCUACCACAUUGAACUCUUACUGUUCUGUAUAAAUGUGGUCGUGGCUCGCCCUUUCCAGAUGUAUCCUUUUAAAUUUUGAA